UGGGUGGUAUCAGUUAUGAACCAUACUGUAAAAAGAACUUGUUGCUAUAGUAUUCCACAGUUUCAUAUCGAAUUAUAGCCGCUUAGAUCUUUUAAUGGACUGAGACGGGAGG
Non-coding RNA from Pelosinus fermentans B4, 112 nucleotides. Lineage: Bacteria; Bacillati; Bacillota; Negativicutes; Selenomonadales; Sporomusaceae. The record is from Rfam.